RNAcentral lists this ribosomal RNA (115 nucleotides) under Danio rerio (zebrafish). The record is from RNAcentral. Lineage: Eukaryota; Metazoa; Chordata; Actinopteri; Cypriniformes; Danionidae.
GCUGGCAGCUAGCUCUCUGCAACUCUCACAUGGUCACCCACUGAAGCUAAGCAGGGCUGCGCCCGAUCAGUACCUGGAUGGGAGACCAGAUGGGAAAGCUAGGUUGCUGCCAGAA